UGAGGGGGGCUGCUCCUAGUACGAGAGGACCGGAGUGGACGCAUCACUGGUGUUCGGGUUGUCAUGCCAAUGGCACUGCCCGGUAGCUAAAUGCGGAAAAGAUAAGUGCUGAAAGCAUCUAAGCACGAAACUUGCCCCGAGAUGAGUCUUCCCUGAGACUUUGAGUCUCCUGAAGGAACGUUAAAGACGAUGACGUUGAUAGGCCGGGUGUGUAAGCGCAGCGAUGCGCUGAGCUAACCGGUACUAAUGAACCGUGAGGCUUAACCUU
This 268-nucleotide ribosomal RNA is filed under the name Salmonella enterica. RNAcentral describes it as "partial 23S ribosomal RNA". It matches the Rfam family "Bacterial large subunit ribosomal RNA", at positions 2663 to 2925 of the family's 2925-position model. The record is from RNAcentral. Lineage: Bacteria; Pseudomonadati; Pseudomonadota; Gammaproteobacteria; Enterobacterales; Enterobacteriaceae. RNAcentral also lists the same sequence under 1 other name.